ACCGAUGAGGGCGACUACAACGUCAAGAUCCGAAAUCUCACCCGGUUUCUGGAACACGGCGACAAGUGCAAGGUCACCAUUCGUUUCCGGGGUCGGGAAAUGGCUCACCAGGAAUUGGGUGGCAAGCUGCUGGAUCGGAUUGAGCAGGAUCUGGAAGAACUGGCUACCGUGGAACAGCGGCCCAAGAUGGAAGGUCGCCAGAUGAUCAUGGUGCUUGGGCCCAAGAAGAAAUAAUGCAUAAAACGGAUUCACGGGUUCCGGUACACCUGUGCGUCCCGAUCAACAGGACCGCCGUGAAGGCGGCCUUACCAGGAGUUCGA
Molecule: unclassified non-coding RNA, 320 nt
Filed under: Ectothiorhodospira marina
Lineage: Bacteria; Pseudomonadati; Pseudomonadota; Gammaproteobacteria; Chromatiales; Ectothiorhodospiraceae
Description: Long range pseudoknot
Source: RNAcentral